CACCCCCCACACUUAGACUACACAUUGUCCCUAAUGUGUCCCAAAGAAAAGAUAAGAGGUUACUGAACUUCCUUAGAAUGGAGCAUCAGACUAGCUUGAGGGCCCACCUCCUCGUUGAAGCUCUAAAUGUAGUGUAGUUUUUCAAGGUAACUCAUUGCACAUAAGACAAAUAAAUAAAAGAAAAACAAAAACAACCACACCAAGCACAAAAUAAAA
Molecule: long non-coding RNA, 216 nt
Filed under: Gossypium raimondii (Peruvian cotton)
Lineage: Eukaryota; Viridiplantae; Streptophyta; Magnoliopsida; Malvales; Malvaceae
Description: long non-coding RNA (GRAI_LNC002041)
Source: RNAcentral